Molecule: ribosomal RNA, 259 nt
Filed under: uncultured bacterium
Lineage: Bacteria
Description: partial 16S ribosomal RNA
Rfam family: Bacterial small subunit ribosomal RNA
Source: RNAcentral
CGGCGGACGGGUGAGUAACGCGUGGGUAACCUGCCUCAUACAGGGGGAUAACAGUUGGAAACGACUGCUAAUACCGCAUAAGCGCACAGGGUCGCAUGACCUGGUGUGAAAAGCUCCGGUGGUAUGAGAUGGACCCGCGUCUGAUUAGCCAGUUGGUGGGGUAACGGCCUACCAAAGCAACGAUCAGUAGCCGACCUGAGAGGGUGACCGGCCACAUUGGGACUGAGACACGGCCCAAACUCCUACGGGAGGCAGCAUG